CAGAGGGUGCGAGCGUUAAUCGGAAUUACUGGGCGUAAAGCGCACGUAGGUGGUUUUGCAAGUCGAGUGUGAAAGCCCCGGGCUCAACCUGGGAACUGCAUUCGAGACUGCAUUACUCGAGUAUGGGAGAGGGCAGCGGAAUUUCCGGUGUAGCGGUGAAAUGCGUAGAUAUCGGAAGGAACAUCAGUGGCGAAAGCGGCUGCCUGGCCCAAUACUGACACUCAAGUGCGAAAGCGUGGGGAGCAAACAGGAUUAGAUACCCUGGUAGUCCACGCCAUAAACGAUGACAACUGGAUGUCGGGAGGAUUUGCCUCUCGGUGUCGUAGCUAACGCGUCAAGUUGUCCGCCUGGGGAGUACGGCCGCAAGGUUG
Molecule: ribosomal RNA, 371 nt
Filed under: uncultured organism
Description: bacterial SSU rRNA
Rfam family: Bacterial small subunit ribosomal RNA
Source: RNAcentral